This 642-nucleotide ribosomal RNA is filed under the name uncultured bacterium. RNAcentral's name for it is "bacterial SSU rRNA". The stretch from base 1 to 536 matches the Rfam family "Bacterial small subunit ribosomal RNA", at positions 338 to 873 of the family's 1533-position model. The record is from RNAcentral.
CCUACGGGAGGCAGCAGUAAGGAAUAUUGGUCAAUGGACGAAAGUCUGAACCAGCCAUGCCGCGUGAAGGAUGACGGCCCUCUGGGUUGUAAACUUCUUUUAUCUGGGACGAAAAAAGGGAAUUCUUUCUCACUUGACGGUACCAGAGGAAUAAGCACCGGCUAACUCCGUGCCAGCAGCCGCGGUAAUACGGAGGGUGCAAGCGUUAUCCGGAUUCACUGGGUUUAAAGGGAGCGUAGGUGGGCAGGUAAGUCAGUGGUGAAAUCUCCGGGCUUAACCCGGAAACUGCCAUUGAUACUAUUUGUCUUGAAUUAUCUGGAGGUAAGCGGAAUAUGUCAUGUAGCGGUGAAAUGCUUAGAUAUGACAUAGAACACCCAUUGCGAAGGCAGCUUACUACGGAUAUAUUGACACUGAGGCUCGAAAGCGUGGGGAUCAAACAGGAUUAGAUACCCUGGUAGUCCACGCCCUAAACGAUGGAUACUCGACAUCAGCGAUACACUGUUGGUUGUCGUGAGCGAAGACGAUAGUAUACCACCGUACGGAGGUACGGACCGAACCGUAGGUUAGUUAAACGUUACGUAAAGUUAGUUAAGUUAGUUACGGCGUUGAGACGUUGCCGACGGACGACGACGAGGGAGGAGG